Long non-coding RNA from Cryptomeria japonica (Japanese cedar), 489 nucleotides. RefSeq lists it as uncharacterized. The transcript is spliced from 2 exons. NCBI's taxonomy places the organism in Eukaryota, Viridiplantae, Streptophyta, Pinopsida, Cupressales, Cupressaceae. The record is from RefSeq and is a predicted model, not a curated record.
GUUUGUCUUGUGCUUGAUUCAUUUAUCCAUGCUAGCAUCAAUUGGGAAUUUCUCACAGCGUAGCUGAUUUUGACUCACUAUUCACUUUUUCGAUAAAUGGGAAUGGGAGUGGAGCGAGAGGUGCACAAAGUGGUGACUGCAACGCUAAAGAGCAUACGAAAUCUCAUACAUUUGCUGUCUCAACAAAGUAGGAACUCGAGCGAUUCUGAGUGUGUGAUUAGGAGAAGGGGAUGUUUCAAUAUAAAAAUAUACGUUGAAUUUCUAGAAUGGAUGGAAUUGGAAAGAAAAAACACACUAGUGUUGCUGCCAUACAUCAAUUGUUAUGUUUCUAGGGGCACUAUAGAGAUAGGUGCAGGUGGUGGCAGGGGCACCGUGGUGGCAGGGGCAUUUAUAGGAACUGAACAAGUUUUUUUUAUAGAUUAAAUGUGUAUGUAUCCAAUAUUUAAAAAAUAAUGUUUUGUGAGCAGUUGAACUGCGCAACUUCUUUCA